Non-coding RNA from Delitschia confertaspora ATCC 74209, 85 nucleotides. The record is from the annotation of a GenBank genome assembly. Lineage: Eukaryota; Fungi; Ascomycota; Dothideomycetes; Pleosporales; Delitschiaceae.
GCCUGCUUGGCGCAGUGGUAACGCGUUGCACUUGUACUCUUGCAGGCAUAUGCAAAGAUCAUUGGUUCAAUUCCAGUAGUAGGCA